UCUGGUGGCUAUGGCGAAGGGGUCACACCUGUUCCCAUCCCGAACACAGCAGUUAAGCCCUUCAGCGCCGAUGGUACUCGGACCGCAGGGUCCCGGAAGAGUAGGUCGCUGCCAGAC
RNAcentral lists this ribosomal RNA (117 nucleotides) under Deltaproteobacteria bacterium. The record is from RNAcentral. Lineage: Bacteria; Pseudomonadati; Myxococcota; Myxococcia.